RNAcentral lists this ribosomal RNA (494 nucleotides) under uncultured bacterium. RNAcentral's name for it is "partial 16S ribosomal RNA". It matches the Rfam family "Bacterial small subunit ribosomal RNA", at positions 28 to 507 of the family's 1533-position model. The record is from RNAcentral.
GACGAACGCUGGCGGCGUGCUUAACACAUGCAAGUCGAACGGUGAAGCGCCUUCCUUUUUGGUGGGUGUGGAUGAGUGGCGAACGGGUGAGUAACACGUGAGUAACCUGCCCCCUUCUUCUGGAUAACCGCAUGAAAGUGUGGCUAAUACGGGAUAUUCUGGGUCUGUCGCAUGAUGGGUCUGGGAAAGAUAUUGUUUCGGUGGGGGAUGGGCUCGCGGCCUAUCAGCUUGUUGGUGGGGUGAUGGCCUACCAAGGCGGUGACGGGUAGCCGGCCUGAGAGGGUGGACGGUCACACUGGGACUGAGACACGGCCCAGACUCCGACGAGAGGCAGCAGUGGGGAAUAUUGCACAAUGGGCGCAAGCCUGAUGCAGCGACGCCGCGUGAGGGAUGGAGGCCUUCGGGUUGUGAACCUCUUUCGCCAGUGAAGCAGGCCUGCCUCGUUUGUGGGUGGGUUGACGGUAGCUGGAGAAGAAGCGCCGGCUAACUACGUG